Molecule: microRNA precursor, 193 nt
Filed under: Oryza rufipogon (brownbeard rice)
Lineage: Eukaryota; Viridiplantae; Streptophyta; Magnoliopsida; Poales; Poaceae
Description: MIR812 microRNA precursor family
Rfam family: MIR812 microRNA precursor family
Source: Rfam by way of RNAcentral
UGUAACCACAGUUUUACACUGUCUAUAUCUAAUGUUUAACUGUCCGUCUUAUUUAAUUUUUUUUAAGAUUAGUUAUUUUAUGGGUAUAGAUGAUAAAACUUGAAUAAUAAUUUAUAUGUGACUAUUUUUUUAAUUUUUUUAUAAUUUUAAAUAAAAUAGACGUUUAAACGUUAGACACACAUCUGUACUUAAA